Molecule: long non-coding RNA, 3587 nt
Filed under: Homo sapiens (human)
Lineage: Eukaryota; Metazoa; Chordata; Mammalia; Primates; Hominidae
Description: non-protein coding LINC02290:18
Source: RNAcentral
GAUUGGUCCUGCUUCAGUCACAUGCUUGCAUCUUAGUCCAAUCACUGUGGCCUGGAGGAUGGGACACCAUGAUUUGCAAGACUCUGGUCACAUGCCCACACCUGUGGCUUCUGAAGCAGAGCACCAGCAGUGACAGUCCCACCAGAACCGCAUGGAAUAGAAAACUGUGCAUUUCCCUAAGGAAAGGGAAUGCCAGAGAAGGGCAGAAGGGAAAUCAGGAAGACAAAACGUGUCUUCAUGUUGGAGUGGACCUUUCCUCUAUCUGUCAACAGAAUGGAUAAAUUGUGGAAGAGUAAUAUCAGAAUACUACACAUCAGUAAAAAACAACAAACUUCUGCUACAAACAAUCAACAUCGAUGAAUCUUUCAGGCAAAAGGGUUAAUGCCUACAAUAAGUGUUCUUGAAAUACAGUCACGCGUUGCUUAACCAUGGGGAUAUAUUCUGAUAAAUUCAUCAUUAGGCGAUUUCAUCACUGGGCGAACAUCACAGCUCGUACUCACACAAACCUAGAUGUCAUAGCCUACUACACACCUAGGCUAUAUGAUAUAGGCUAUUGCUAGCAACAAACCUGUACAGCAUGUUACUGUCUUGAAUACUUAGGCAGCAGAGCACAAUGUUAUAGAAACAGAUGAUCAGUGGCCCACGGAUUCCAGGUGAGGAUCUGGGACCCAGACAUCCAGAUAUUGAAAACACAGGGAUGGAGUCUGUAUGGAAAAAAUUAAAAUAUAGCAAAAUGUGAAAUACGGAAGAGAAAUCUUUCAAUUUCCCAAUGGAAGUGAGAAAAGAGCAAAGAAAAGUAUUGGUCUUCCAAAACAAAUAGAGGACGGAGCUGCUGCUGUUGCAUGGUGUCUAGAAACUCAGACAACUUCAUCAUUCCAUAUUUGCAUCCAAGAGAGAGAAAGAAAAACUACAAUCAUUUUCCAUUUACCCAUCAACCCAUCAACCUCCAAAUAAAGGCUAUUAAAAAACAAUCAAAGUGUGAAGAGGGCAGAAAAUGUGAUGAAGAGAUUCUUUGGAGAAAGUAGCUGCCACUGUUACCUUGGGAUCUGCCUAUAGUCCUCACAGAGCUUGCCCUUGCAGGAUAGAACAUAGGAGUCUGGGAGUCUGCAAGAAGAGACAGGGUCUCACUAUGUUGCCCCAGUUGGCCUUGAACUGCUGGACUCAAGGGAUCCUCCUGCCUCAGCAUCCUGAGUAGCUGGGUCUACAGGCAUGAACCACCAGGCCCAGAACCCUGUGUGAGUGUUCCUUCUUCCCCUCUCUUCAUGUUCACAGCAUAUCUUAUUAUUGUUAAUAUUGGAAGUCAACACACCAGGGAUCAUCAUCAGACUCAUGUUCUUUAUUGAGAAACAAGCUUUUGAAAGCCAUAUGCGAUCUGUCUGCCCUGAAGUGACUACUUCAUCUCCAACCAGCCCUUGGCUGGCAAAGUCAGGAAGACUCCAGUCUUUCCUGAAGACCAGGGGAGAGUUUAUAACUCUAGCAUCAAAGUCAGCAGCUGUUCAUCUAGAAGACAACUUCCCAAAAGUCAAUGUCUUUGCCUGAAGCUUUUCUUCCCAGAUCUCCUAUGGUGAAACAACCAAAGGGAAGAAGAAUGUGGGCAGCCCUCAGUAAGACAGGAGAUGAGCAUCAACAUUGACCCAUUCUUUCUUCCAGUCCUCGAUGCUUACCUUGUACAUUCUUCUUUGUCUUCCGACUCAGUGCCUUUAGGGUAUGGACGUUGCCUGGUCCCACACAAGCCAAGCAUCAAAUGGAUGGCUCAACAAGGAGGCCAAGACCAGCUAAUGUUUAGUGAGCACCCAAAGGGGCCACACUGGAGAGAACAGCACAGCUCCGUCUGAGAAACAGCUGUUCCUUCCUGCCUGAGAGGCAGAGUGAUAGAAGAUAUCACAGAAUGUUGCUGCUUUGUCUUCCACCCUGAACCCUCCACGACCUCCCUGUAGCUUCCUGAUUUUAAGUAGACAUCAAAUGAUUCUUAAUCCUUUCUGGGUCUUGGAACGAUUUGAAAAUUGUCAACAGUACUGGGAUUCCCAGAAUAAUGCACAUAUGUACAUACUCAGAUAUUCCCCAAGCCCUGGAUAUAAUUUUAAGGGAGUUCACAGACCACACUCCCCCACCCAUCUGUGGACCCAGAUUCUGUGGGUUCGAGAUUCAGAAGCCCUGUUUCUAGGCAGGCCCUCUGUUGCUAACGCCCCUCGAGAACAUCACCCUAGAUGAUUAUCCCUUCUUCCUCCACUCCUUCCCACCUUCUCCAACUGCUGGGUUUCAGCACAAAGAUUGCUUGCCAGUUAAACUGGCACCAUGGACCGCACAGUAGUUGUUUCUUGGGUCUAGAGGAAACAGCCAGAUUCCUUUAAGUAAAUCAUGUCUUAGUUAUUGAUUGUCUCCACUUGAAGUUUUUGACAAUCUCUGAUUAAAUCAUAAACCACUGCAUCCUCCAUCUCCUGCUUCAGUCUCUCAAACCAAAUGUCAGUUUCUUUGUAGCCCUUCAAUUCAAAGUUUGCAAAUUCUGGAUCUAGGCUUCAUUCUUUCACUCAUUUAAGCACUAACAUCUAUUGCAUAACUAUUAAAUGCCAGGCACUGUUCUAGGCAUCAGGGACAUAAUAAUGUACAAAACAGCCUUCAUGUUAAUUUACUUAUUCUCUUCCAAAAUGCUAAUUCUAACCAGUGCUGCUUUAAAAACCAUUAUAAUUAUUACAAUAACUGCCUAAGUUAUAAGCUCUAUUCUAAAUAGUUAAUAUGUAUUAUUAUUUUUCAGAAAACUCUAUGAGGUAGGUAUUAUUAUUAUCAUUCUUAUUUUACAGAAGUGAAAAUCAUAAAGGUUAAGUAAUUUGCCCCAGCUAGAGAGGGACAAAGACAAGAUGUAACAUGAGGCAGUUUGACUAAAUUACUUACUGCUAAAUUCAGCAUCCCUGAUUAUGGUUACAAAGCAAGAUUAGAUUCUUUAGCACUGUUGAAAUGUGAACAGAUGUAUUACAAAAAAAAUUGUCUAGCAAUGUGCAUAUAUUUAAGUAGCCCCGAGGGUUAUCUGUGGUUGCCAAGAGGCUCAAAGUCAGCAUGAAUAUAAUCAGGAGGCACUGAUGACUUUGUUACCCAGAGAUGGUUUGGGGAUCCGUCAGGAGUAUCAUGCACAUGGACAGGAAUGUGAGGCAGAGGAUUACUGGAGUUGAGCUGGCAGUCAAGGGACAAACAAGCCAAAAGUUAUAAAAAACAUAUUUUAAAAUUAUAUAUUUUUAAAUAAUCGUGAUGGACAGAAGAAAUUGUAAUCCUGAGGCAAUAACUGAGAAAGUAUUGAGUAGGUAAUAAAAGGCCUGAGUAGGCUGAAAUAAAUGUUUUAAAAUAGCAGUUUCCUGUAUCCAUGGCUUCUAAAGACCUCCGUUAGUGCGAAUAGUAACUCAAAUGAAAUUUAGAACCAAGAAUAAUUGAGAGGGGUAGCUCACAGGCAGGAGUGAAUUGUGUUUUGCAGGAUUUGAAGAUUAUACAAUUUGGAUGACUCUUCUUUAAAAAAUUACUAAUACCAAAUUAGAUCUAGGGCCUUGGGAAGGGCCUGGAAGCAUAAGCUACAUUACCUUUAUAGCAAACCCAGCUUGGAC